RNAcentral lists this non-coding RNA (31 nucleotides) under Mus musculus (house mouse). Lineage: Eukaryota; Metazoa; Chordata; Mammalia; Rodentia; Muridae. The record is from RNAcentral.
UGCAAAUUAAAACCAUAAUGAGGUAAUACUU